GACGAACGCUGGCGGCGUGCCUAAUACAUGCAAGUUGAGCGCUGAAGGUUGGUACUUGUACCAACUGGAUGAGCAGCGAACGGGUGAGUAACGCGUGGGGAAUCUGCCUUUGAGCGGGGGACAACAUUUGGAAACGAAUGCUAAUACCGCAUAAAAACUUUAAACACAAGUUUUAAGUUUGAAAGAUGCAAUUGCAUCACUCAAAGAUGAUCCCGCGUUGUAUUAGCUAGUUGGUGAGGUAAAGGCUCACCAAGGCGAUGAUACAUAGCCGACCUGAGAGGGUGAUCGGCCACACUGGGACUGAGACACGGCCCAAACUCCUACGGGAGGCAGCAGUAGGGAAUCUUCGGCAAUGGACGAAAGUCUGACCGAGCAACGCCGCGUGAGUGAAGAAGGUUUUCGGAUCGUAAAACUCUGUUGGUAGAGAAGAACGUUGGUGAGAGUGGAAAGCUCAUCAAGUGACGGUAACUACCCAGAAAGGGACGGCUAACUACGUGCCAGCAGCCGCGGUAAUACGUAGGUCCCGAGCGUUGUCCGGAUUUAUUGGGCGUAAAGCGAGCGCAGGUGGUUUAUUAAGUCUGGUGUAAAAGGCAGUGGCUCAACCAUUGUAUGCAUUGGAAACUGGUAGACUUGAGUGCAGGAGAGGAGAGUGGAAUUC
RNAcentral lists this ribosomal RNA (658 nucleotides) under uncultured Lactococcus sp. RNAcentral's name for it is "bacterial SSU rRNA". It matches the Rfam family "Bacterial small subunit ribosomal RNA", at positions 28 to 669 of the family's 1533-position model. Lineage: Bacteria; Bacillati; Bacillota; Bacilli; Lactobacillales; Streptococcaceae. The record is from RNAcentral.